RNAcentral lists this small nuclear RNA (164 nucleotides) under Chelydra serpentina (North American snapping turtle). Its description in RNAcentral is "U1 spliceosomal RNA (ENSCSRG00000019386.1)". It matches the Rfam family "U1 spliceosomal RNA". Rfam says of the family: U1 is a small nuclear RNA (snRNA) component of the spliceosome (involved in pre-mRNA splicing). Its 5' end forms complementary base pairs with the 5' splice junction, thus defining the 5' donor site of an intron. There are significant differences in sequence and secondary structure between metazoan and yeast U1 snRNAs, the latter being much longer (568 nucleotides as compared to 164 nucleotides in human). The record is from Rfam by way of RNAcentral. Lineage: Eukaryota; Metazoa; Chordata; Testudines; Chelydridae.
AUUCUUACCCGGCAGAGGAGAUAACAUGAUCAUGAAGGUGGUUUUCUCAUGGUGAGGCUCAUCCAUUCCACUGCGGGUCUGCUGACCUCUGAGAUUUCCUCAAAUAGGGGAAACUCAACUAUAUAAUUUGUAGUAGUGGGAGACUGCAUUCACGCUUUCCCCUG